AUUGAACGCUGGCGGCAGGCCUAACACAUGCAAGUCGAGCGGAUGAAGGGAGCUUGCUCCUGGAUUCAGCGGCGGACGGGUGAGUAUUGCCUAGGAAUCUGCCUGGUAGUGGGGGAUAACGUCCGGAAACGGGCGCUAAUACCGCAUACGUCCUGAGGGAGAAAGUGGGGGAUCUUCGGACCUCACGCUAUCAUAUGAGCCUAGGUCGGAUUAGCUAGUUGGUUGGGUAAAGGCCUACCAAGGCGACGAUCCGUAACUGGUCUGAGAGGAUGAUCAGUCACCCUGGAACUGAGACACGGUCAAGAGUACUACGGGAGGCCGCAGUGGCGAACAUUGGACAAUGGGCGAAAGCAUGAUACAGUCAUGCCGCGUGUGUGACGAAGGUCUUCGGAUUGUAAAGAACUUUAAGUUGGGAGGAAGGGCAGUAAGUUAAUACCUUGCUGUUUUGACGUUAAUAACAGAAUAAGCACCGGCUAACUUCGUG
This 484-nucleotide ribosomal RNA is filed under the name uncultured bacterium. RNAcentral's name for it is "partial 16S ribosomal RNA". It matches the Rfam family "Bacterial small subunit ribosomal RNA", at positions 30 to 507 of the family's 1533-position model. The record is from RNAcentral.